CGGGCCCCAAGCCGUUAAUCCGGCAAUUCUGGGCGUAAAGCGUACGCAGGCGGUUUGUUAAGCGAGAUGUGAAAGCCCCGGGCUCAACCUGGGAACUGCAUUUCGAACUGGCAAACUAGAGUGUGAUAGAGGGUGGUAGAAUUUCAGGUGUAGCGGUGAAAUGCGUAGAGAUCUGAAGGAAUACCGAUGGCGAAGGCAGCCACCUGGGUCAACACUGACGCUCAUGUACGAAAGCGUGGGGAGCAAACAGGAUUAGAUACCCUGGUAGUCCACGCCGUAAACGAUGUCUACUAGAAGCUCGGAACCUCGGUUCUGUUUUUCAAAGCUAACGCAUUAAGUAGACCGCCUGGGGAGUACGGCCGCAAGGUUAAACCUCAAAUGAAUUGACGGGGGCCCGCACAAGCGGUGGCGCAUGUGGUUUAAUUCCAUGCAACGCGAAGAACCUUACCUACACUUGACAUACAGAGAACUUACCAGAAAUAGUUUGGUGCCUUCGGGAACUCUGAUACAGGUGCUGCAUGGCC
Molecule: ribosomal RNA, 524 nt
Filed under: Pseudoalteromonas sp. E47bio
Lineage: Bacteria; Pseudomonadati; Pseudomonadota; Gammaproteobacteria; Alteromonadales; Pseudoalteromonadaceae
Description: bacterial SSU rRNA
Rfam family: Bacterial small subunit ribosomal RNA
Source: RNAcentral